GGCUGCUCCCUGCUCUGAGCUGCUGGCUAUUAGCUGUCAUCCAUCCUGGAUGUGAGACAAGCAGGUGGAUAAGAGAGACAUCAUCUCGUUAGGACCUGCAGGAACAGGCAAGCGGGGUGCCUAUCAGGGGCGCUCAUCUCCGAGGCAGGCUCGGACUCCAGCACGAAGCACCAGGGAGACCGUUUUCUGCUGAGUCUGCACCAUCCAUGGCAGGUUCCUGGCUUCGCUGGCUCUCCUUGGCUCUGUCUUUCCCGAGGAUGGCUGGGAGAGAGCGGGAUCAAAGUCUACCCUGUCAUGAGAGCUUGCAACUGACGGAACUUCCAAUGUCUUGACACAACUGAAGUUGAUUCCAUCCAACUCACCGCCCUCCAACUUGUCCGGCAAUGCCCACAACCACUCCUGAGGUUGUACACCAGGGCCCCCACUGAAGGGCCGGUCAAAAUUGUAGCUUCCAGCGCCAUCCACACCCACUGAGCACACUCUUUGGUAAUGGAGACAGAGGACCUACAUUUCUAACAAGUUCUGGUCACUUUGAUGUA
Molecule: long non-coding RNA, 539 nt
Filed under: Bos indicus x Bos taurus (hybrid cattle)
Lineage: Eukaryota; Metazoa; Chordata; Mammalia; Artiodactyla; Bovidae
Description: lncRNA (ENSBIXG00005021072.1)
Source: RNAcentral